Molecule: ribosomal RNA, 253 nt
Filed under: uncultured bacterium
Lineage: Bacteria
Description: partial 16S ribosomal RNA
Rfam family: Bacterial small subunit ribosomal RNA
Source: RNAcentral
UACGACGGGGGCUAGCGUUGUUCGGAAUUACUGGGCGUAAAGGGCGCGUAGGCGGCCGGGCAAGUCCCUCGUGAAAGCCCACGGCUCAACCGUGGAAUUGCGGGGGAAACUGGUCGUCUUGAGUCCGGGAGAGGAGUGUGGAAUUCCCAGUGUAGCGGUGAAAUGCGUAGAUACUGGGAGGAACACCGGUGGCGAAGGCGGCACUCUGGACCGGUACUGACGCUGAGGCGCGAAAGCUAGGGGAGCAAACGGG